GGGGGAAUAGGUAAAGGGGUAGCUGCUAACUAAUUCCUUAAGCGGUUCAAUUCCGUUUUUCCCUUU
This 66-nucleotide transfer RNA is filed under the name Abrus expansivus. RNAcentral describes it as "tRNA-Ser". Lineage: Eukaryota; Metazoa; Arthropoda; Insecta; Hemiptera; Cicadellidae. The record is from RNAcentral.